This 572-nucleotide ribosomal RNA is filed under the name uncultured bacterium. Its description in RNAcentral is "bacterial SSU rRNA". It matches the Rfam family "Bacterial small subunit ribosomal RNA", at positions 47 to 632 of the family's 1533-position model. The record is from RNAcentral.
CCUAACACAUGCAAGUCGAACGGUAACAGGAAACAGCUUGCUGUUUCGCUGACGAGUGGCGGACGGGUGAGUAAUGUCUGGGAAACUGCCUGAUGGAGGGGGAUAACUACUGGAAACGGUAGCUAAUACCGCAUAACGUCGCAAGACCAAAGAGGGGGACCUUCGGGCCUCUUGCCAUCAGAUGUGCCCAGAUGGGAUUAGCUAGUAGGUGGGGUAACGGCUCACCUAGGCGACGAUCCCUAGCUGGUCUGAGAGGAUGACCAGCCACACUGGAACUGAGACACGGUUCCGACUCCUACGGGGGGCAGCAGUGAGGAAUAUUGCGCAAUGGGGGGAACCCUGACGCAGCAACGCCGCGUGGAGGACGAAGGUUUUCGGAUUGUAAACUCCUUAACUGGGGGAAGAGAGAGGACGGUACCCCAGGACGAAGACACGGCUAACUAGGUGCCAGCAGCCGCGGUAAUACCUAGGUGUCGAGCGUUAUCCGGAAUUACUGGGCGUAAAGGGUGCGCAGGCGGUGUUACAAGUCCGGCGUGAAAGCUUCUGGCUUAACUGGGAGAGGACGUCGGAAA